CCUACGGGGGCCAGCAGUGGGGAAUAUUGGACAAUGGGGGGAACCCUGAUCCAGCCAUGCCGCGUGUGUGAAGAAGGCCCUCGGGUUGUAAAGCACUUUCAGUGAGGAAGAACGCCUGGUGGUUAAUACCCAUCAGGAAAGACAUCACUCACAGAAGAAGCACCGGCUAACUCCGUGCCAGCAGCCGCGGUAAUACGGAGGGUGCGAGCGUUAAUCGGAAUUACUGGGCGUAAAGCGCGCGUAGGUGGCUUGAUAAGCCGGUUGUGAAAGCCCCGGGCUCAACCUGGGAACGGCAUCCGGAACUGUCAAGCUAGAGUGCAGGAGAGGAAGGUAGAAUUCCCGGUGUAGCGGUGAAAUGCGUAGAGAUCGGGAGGAAUACCAGUGGCGAAGGCGGCCUUCUGGACUGACACUGACACUGAGGUGCGAAAGCGUGGGUAGCAAACAGGAUUAGAUACCCUUGUAGUU
Molecule: ribosomal RNA, 465 nt
Filed under: Vreelandella stevensii
Lineage: Bacteria; Pseudomonadati; Pseudomonadota; Gammaproteobacteria; Oceanospirillales; Halomonadaceae
Description: partial 16S ribosomal RNA
Rfam family: Bacterial small subunit ribosomal RNA
Source: RNAcentral